RNAcentral lists this ribosomal RNA (429 nucleotides) under Gemmatimonadota bacterium. RNAcentral describes it as "Gemmatimonadetes bacterium partial 16S ribosomal RNA". It matches the Rfam family "Bacterial small subunit ribosomal RNA", at positions 355 to 776 of the family's 1533-position model. The record is from RNAcentral. Lineage: Bacteria; Pseudomonadati; Gemmatimonadota.
UAGGGAAUCUUCGGCAAUGGACGAAAGUCUGACCGAGCAACGCCGCGUGAGUGAAGAAGGUUUUCGGAUCGUAAAACUCUGUUGUUAGAGAAGAACAAGGACGUUAGUAACUGAACGUCCCCUGACGGUAUCUAACCAGAAAGCCACGGCUAACUACGUGCCAGCAGCCGCGGUAAUACGUAGGUGGCAAGCGUUGUCCGGAUUUAUUGGGCGUAAAGCGAGCGCAGGCGGUUUCUUAAGUCUGAUGUGAAAGCCCCCGGCUCAACCGGGGAGGGUCAUUGGAAACUGGGAGACUUGAGUGCAGAAGAGGAGAGUGGAAGUCCAUGUGUAGCGGUGAAAUGCGUAGAUAUAUGGGGGAACACCAGUGGCGAAGGCGGCUCGCUGGUCUGUAACUGACGCUGAGGCUCGAAAGCGUGGGGAGCAAACAGG